Molecule: ribosomal RNA, 427 nt
Filed under: uncultured soil bacterium
Lineage: Bacteria
Description: bacterial SSU rRNA
Rfam family: Bacterial small subunit ribosomal RNA
Source: RNAcentral
AGAACGAACGCUGGCGGCAUGCCUAAUACAUGCAAGUCGAACGAACACUUCGGUGUUAGUGGCGCACGGGUGCGUAACGCGUGGGAAUCUGCCCUUGGGUUCGGAAUAACAGUUGGAAACGACUGCUAAUACCGGAUGAUGACGAAGUCCAAAGAUUAUCGCCCAGGGAUGAGCCCGCGUAGAUUAGCUAGUUGGUGAGGUAAAGGCUCACCAAGGCGACGAUCCUUAGCUGGUCUGAGAGGAUGAUCAGCCACACGUGGGACUGACGACGACCGGCCCACGACCUCCGUACGGGAGCAGCGAGGUAGGGAAUUAGUAGGACAAGUGGACGAAAGCCUGACUCCAGCAAUCGGCCGCGUGGAGUGAGUGAACGGUCCGUUUAAGGGUUACGUAAAGUCCGUUUACCGUUUUACCGGGAUUAGUAUAA